AAAGCAAGGUGCUGCAUGGCUGUCGUCAGCUCGUGUCGUGAGAUGUUGGGUUAAGUCCCGCAACGAGCGCAACCCUCGCCUUUAGUUGCCAUCAUUCAGUUGGGCACUCUAGAGGGACUGCCGGUGAUAAGCCGGAGGAAGGUGGGGAUGACGUCAAGUCCUCAUGGCCCUUACGGGUAGGGCUACACACGUGCUACAAUGGUGGUGACAGUGGGCAGCGACACAGUGAUGUGAUGCUAAUCUCAAAAAGCCAUCUCAGUUCAGAUUGUACUCUGCAACUCGAGUACAUGAAGUUGGAAUCGCUAGUAAUCGUAGAACAGCAUGCUACGGUGAAUACGUUCCCGGGCCUU
RNAcentral lists this ribosomal RNA (350 nucleotides) under uncultured Nordella sp. RNAcentral describes it as "bacterial SSU rRNA". It matches the Rfam family "Bacterial small subunit ribosomal RNA", at positions 1030 to 1382 of the family's 1533-position model. Lineage: Bacteria; Pseudomonadati; Pseudomonadota; Alphaproteobacteria; Hyphomicrobiales. The record is from RNAcentral.